RNAcentral lists this ribosomal RNA (497 nucleotides) under uncultured bacterium. RNAcentral describes it as "partial 16S ribosomal RNA". It matches the Rfam family "Bacterial small subunit ribosomal RNA", at positions 28 to 507 of the family's 1533-position model. The record is from RNAcentral.
GAUGAACGCUGGCGGCGUGCCUAAUACAUGCAAGUCGAGCGAACAGACGAGGAGCUUGCUCCUUUGACGUUAGCGGCGGACGGGUGAGUAACACGUAGGUAACCUACCUAUAAGACUGGGAUAACUUCGGGAAACCGGAGCUAAUACCGGAUAAUAUUUCGAACCGCAUGGUUCGAUCGUGAAAGAUGGCUUUGCUAUCACUUAUAGAUGGACCUGCGCCGUAUUAGCUAGUUGGUAAGGUACCGGCUUACCAAGGCAACGAUACGUAGCCGACCUGAGAGGGUGAUCGGCCACACUGGAACUGAGACACGGUCCAGACUCCUACGGGAGGCAGCAGUAGGGAAUCUUCCGCAAUGGGCGAAAGCCUGACGGAGCAACGCCGCGUGAGUGAUGAAGGUCUUCGGAUCGUAAAACUCUGUUAUUAGGGAAGAACAAACGUGUAAGUAACUGUGCACGUCUUGACGGUACCUAAUCAGAAAGCCACGGCUAACUACGUG